GGGGCGGGCCGAACGACGCAGCCGGGACGGCAGCUGCAGCGCGGACCGGAGGAGCCAUCUUGUCUCGUCGCCGGGGAGUCAGGCCCCUAACUCAAAGAAGCCCUGGCGCGCCCUCCCCCCCUUCCCGGUCUGGUAGGGCGAAGGAGCGGGCGCGCAGUCGAUCGAGCGAUCGGUUGGCGGCUCUUUCUCCUGCUCUGGCAUCCAGCUCUUGGGGCGCAGGCCCGGCCGCCGCGGCGCGCGCCCGGUGGCCGUUGGCGCUCGCGCCGCGUCUUUCUUCUCGUACGCAGAACUCGGGCGGCGGCCUAUGCGUUUGCGAUUCGACGAGGAGUCGUCCGGGUGGUUGGCGGCGGCGGGCAGCUGCUCCGCCCCGCUCCCGGGGAGGCGGCGGCGGCGGGAUUUGGCGCGGCCGGGGAAGCUGGGGUGGCCGGGGCCGGCCUGGAGGCCUGGCGCCACCCUUCGGGGCCUGCAAGGACCCAAUUGGGAGGGCAGGAGGGAGCCGGGGGAUGGUUGGUGGUGGGCUUUCUACUUUGCCUUUUCCUCCUUAUGCCGCCUUAGUGAGGGGCGGGAGCUCUGGCGGCAACUCCGGGGUGGAGAAGCGAGCUCCGGAGUCGGAAGAGCUGUGUUUGCUUCCGGGCCUAGCCACCAGCUGGCCGAGUGACCUUAAGCAAGUCACUCAGUAAUUUGUCUGCGCCUCAGUUUCCUCCUCUAUCAACGUUUGUGGGAUUGAAAGCGCUUUGUAAACCAUAAAGCGUCGGUGGAUGAAAGGAAUGAUUAUUGUUCGUUAUAGUUGGCUUUUUUUUUUUUUUUUUGGAGUUGUAAGAAAACUUAGAAAUUCCCAGUCCUUGGAUAUUGAACCUGGAAACCUUGGAUUGGAGAUGGAGAUCCCCAAACUCCCUGAAAUUGUGUGCAGAAGUUAGUGGGAAUAUGCAAUUAAGGGAAAUGAGGAUCCAUCACCAUCAAGUUUUCAGAGGGGGCUGUGACCCGGAAGAGUUAAGAACCACAGUUCCUUUGCCACAAGGAGGAAACUGAGGCUUAGAUGUCAUUUGGGACCCGUAACAACCAAGUUGAAGCCCCUGUUGAAUCCCUGGGAUAUGUGAGCUGUUCUAUGCAUAGUGGAUAUUCGGGGUAACAACACUCCACUGCUUGGCUUCUGUUCUGAGUCCUUUCACUAUGGGUUGCCUGAAGGGCGGCUGAUGCUUAUGGUACAUUGACACCCAAUAUAAAGCAGCUGAAACUAGGAGUGGAUGUGUUCUCUAGUGUCAAGAAGCCUAUUCAAUCUUUGGCCCAACAACUUUUUAUUUUCUGGUGCCUGACUACCGUUCUGACUCUUUCAUUGACCAUUUUCCAUGACCAUGGUUGCCAUCCGUUACUUGCUCUUGUUUUAUAUUCCUAGUUCUGUGUGGUUGGUAGUGAGCAGGCUUAUUUUUAAAUGGUGCUGCCAAGUCCAGCUAAUUAAUGGUGCAGGUGGGUUUUUAGCAAGCUGCCUCACUGGAAUAGACUGAACUAGACAUGGAAUUCCUGAAGAUGUUUGUUUUUAUUAAUUGAAGGUUGACAUUCUCUGAAAAGUUUUGUUAGAACUUCCUCUGAACCUCAAAGUCAGUAGUCUGGAAGUGUUUCAAACCUUAACUUUCCUCCCUGCCUGCUUUGUAUUCUCUUUGCUUGCAAGUGUGUUAUUAAGAUGGCCAAAAUGCCAGUUUUUGCUUCUUUGUUAAUUGUCAGCUGCUUUUUAUCAGAUUCCAGGCCAUUGUCCAGCAAACACUAUAGAAAUGUUUGAACACUUGGAUUUCAAACAUUUUCGUUUUGUGGAGUGGUGCUUACCGUGGUACAGCUCUAAGUAAGCAAAUGCAAACACACUUAAGUGUUUUGUCUGUUAGGUGUUAGCCGGUUCUGCUAUUUCAUACAAAUGUCUGGAAAAAAUCAAUUGACUGUUCCCUUUACCUGGAGGGCAGAGACAAAUGAUCUCAAUUCCAGAGAAAUGACUGUUUUGGAGACAAAUGUGUUGGUCUUUUAGCUCUUUUGUAAUUAAAUCUGGAUGUACCUCAAAAGAAUCUUGAGACUGUGGUGAUACUAUGCUUUCCUCAGGAGAAAGGAGGAGAAAACCAACUGGAACUCAAAGCUUGAAAUUCUGUGACAAAACAUGAACUGUCCAGAAUAGGAGGUUGAAAGGGUUUCACUACAGCGUUCUGCACUCGCUGGAACCGAUGUCUUUCAGUGUCAUCACCGCAUGGGCUCCAGAUUUCCAGAAUUUCAAGAACUGGAUCUGGGACCUGGAAGAAAAUACCAGGGUGUGACAGGAACUCGGGAGCUGGACUUGUUUUUGAAUUUGAGGAGUGUUGUCCUUGUUGUGAAAAAGAGACAGUGACCGAGCAAGCACUGCCACCAGCGCUAUCACUGGAAAUCCGGAGACCACCAAACGCUCAGUGCAAACUCGGGCGAUGCUCCAUCCAAAGUGAACUACGUCCUGUGCCUCCUGGUUGCCGAGUGUUCAUCUGGAUCUUCUGAUCACCUUUGUGCUAUUCCAUCAGCCUACAGAUCUGGUACCUGGAUUUUUGCCCAUGGUGAUGGAUUCUGCCACCUCAGUACUGAAGAAGACAUCAUUCCAGUGGACCACUGUGAUCUAGGAGGCGUAUCCAGCGAAUCAUGAUGUGGCCUUCACCUCCGCUCCCAUCCUGUUCUACCCAGAUUCAACACAGCCUUUUGUAGUGAAGUUCAACUUCUCAAGCCAAAUAGCUGAAGCUGUUUUAUCACAACAAAGGUUCAGCUUGUUCCAUAAGUGUGCAUUUCGUUUCUCCAGUUAAAGCUUUCAGAGACACAUAAUAAAUUUGGACCAGGGGAUUUUUAGUUAUCAGCACUGUCUGAAGAAUGGCAGCAUCUUUUUGAGAACCAUAUCGGACCACGCCCCACUGUCUCAAAUGAUUGAAAUUCAGGAAUUGUCUAAUCUGGACCCCAUUCUUUUUCCAUUUAAAAUCUGUAGUAGCCUACUGAAUGAGCAAGCAGAUAUUCUGACCCGUUGGGAUUAAAACAAAGGCACAGUGAACUCACAGCAUCUUCUUUGGGAUUACUCAGGAACCAGAACUUUUCACACAAAUGUAAGAAAUUCUACCAAGGAAUCCCUUUACCUAACAGCAUCUCACAAAGCUCCAAUCAGAUUCCAGAAAAGGCCUCUUGAUACAUCCAGGUAGAACCUAUAUGGUAAUCCCUUAUGUUUAUCUAGCACUUUACAGUUUCAAAGCACUUUCACUUGUAUUAAUCUUAAUUACCAAAUAACUCAAAUUAUAAUCCCUUUUUGCAGAUAAGGAAAUGGAAAUUUAAAAGUUAUCCAAGGUUACACAGCUGCAAAAUGGUAGAAGCCAGGCCUUCUGACUCCCAGUCCAGUUCUCUCUUUGAAAUUAACUUAGCCUCUAUUUUAUGUGCAGUGUUAAAAUAACUGGAGAUUGGGAACCCCAGAAAAGUUUUCAACUUCCUGAUCUCAGUCAGUGCCCUCAGUCAGUUAGGAUGUCAGAGAUGUGAUUUUGCCAUAGUUGUGCCUGGACCUGAAGUCCAUGGCAUCAUCUCUGAGGUUUGGCAGUAGUAGACUGUCUUUAUGGUAGUAUAUUCAUCUGACAACAAGAUUACCCAUUAGAAAACACAAAGCUACUUUUAGAUCUUCCAUCCAUCUUUGUGGUCUUCACAAAGAUGGCCUAGUUGAUUGGGGAUCCCUGUUGAUUCCAUGUCUUCCUUUUUCUUUUUUUAAUUCUUAAUAAUAUUCCCAGACACCAACUCUGUGGUGCUCUAUCCCCAAAUUAAUAUUUACAUAGAAUGAGCCAUCAGUUUUUUUUAGAACAGUACUGUUCAUAUGUAUGUGUGUGUAUGUAUAUAUUUGAUAUACACAUGUAAUAUGUAUCAUAUAUAAAGAGCUUCUGUAGUCCAAUAAUGUGGUAAAAUACUGUAAAAUGUGUCCCCUUCCCUGAUUGUUAAUGCAGUGUAGUGUAUUAAAGGAUCUCAAAAGGCUUACAUAAAGAGCCUCAUUUAGUUGUUUGGCCCAGUGUGUCCUAAGUUUAAUCAAAUACAUAAUGUUAUUUUUGUAGCAUUUCUUUUAAUGGAAUGGGAAAACUUCUUUAGAGCAAUAUAGCCAGUGUUUCCUGAUUGCCAACAUAACUGCCCUGGAGACCUAGGAAUACAGUAUCUUUGGAACCCACCCCCCCACCCCACCCCCCCGCUUUUUUUCUUACCUUGUCAAUAACUUCUUGAAUUAGUAUGUCUUUAUCAUCUGAGAAGCCUACAUUUUGACAGUUAGCUUUGUUUUCUGUCAAAGAAACCUCUAGAAGAUUUGUGGGGCUACAUGGGAGAGGGGUGUGGGGAAGUUAAUUCUGCCAGAAAGAUGGAUUAAUUCUAUGAUGUUUGUGCUGUAAAUCUAGUUUAAGGGAACUACAUCUCAGGUGAGUGAGGAGGGAAGAGGAGAAAAAUAGAGUAAAAGGGAAUGGAUGAGAAGGAGAUAUUUUCUUAGGAUUUAAGUUGUGGCCCAUUGAAAUCUUAUAAUACUUGAAGUCAUCCAGGCAAGGACUUCUUGAAAUAAUAUUUACAAAGAAACUAAUGCAUUUUGCAGUCAUUUGCUGACUGCAAGAAAACCCAGCGCUAUUGUCACUUAAAACCAAUAGCCUUGCCCUGAUAGUCACGUAAAGCCCAAUCAGGCAAUCUGAGUUUGUAGCAGACUGGAAUGUUAACUUCUUCAUUUUGUAAUGUGGCCCACACUAGAGAAGGAAUAAAUAGGAAAAUGGUUUGGCUUACCACAGGCUUUGCUCACAGUUUCUGGUUUCUGUGACCUAUUUUUUUUAUUUCAGCAUUUUGUGAACAACUUACUCUUAGAUCAUUGGUUUUCCAAAGGCUUUGUGGCCAUGAAGCCCUUUGAAUGAAAACUUUAUGGAAGCCCAGAGUAAAAGUGAAGCUGCUCUGGAGGAAGCAGAAGUGGGGGGCCUGAAACCUGCCACAAGCAUCUUACUUUACCAUCAUGGUGACACCUAAGGAGACUUCUUUACAACAACUAGAAUUCUUCAGAACACAGUUUGGAAACCACUGCCCUAGACAACAGUAUGUUUGACCUGAAUGGCAUUCUGUUCUGUACCUCUACCCAACAUGUCGGUGUUCAGUUGAUAAUGAGCAUUCUUAGAAAUACUCAGAGAGUGCAAGAAGAUGGACAUAUCUUUGCCCCCAAGAUUAGUCAUAUGGGCUGAAAGUAAUAUCAAAUGGACCUAGAAUAAUAGCCCUCUAACCACAAAUAGACUUCCAGUGAUUCCUGAAUGAUACAGCCAGAGAGCAAUUUGUACGUUACACUGACAAACCCCCUUAUUCAACUUCUUCCACAAACACCGGAUGCUCUAGUGGUACUUAAAAUGCAUGACCUUGAAGUCUUGAUCCUCCUUGAAUACAGUGAACACCAAGUAUUGAAGCUGAUGCCUCAUUGAGGCAGUAUUAGACCAGCUAUACAUUGGACCUCCCAUUCUCAGCCAUGGUACUCUACUUCGUGUGCAAGGGAUAACUAUAAACUAUGAAAGCAGAAUUCAGAGACUGGCAACAUUACCUAAAAGGGCACCUGAUGAUUAUUCAUCUUCUCAAACUACAUCAACUAUCACUCAGCCAUUGGCAGUUACACUACUACUUGGUUUUUAUUCAGUUUAACUGCUGUUUCCAGAAUAAAGAAGCAAAUAACCUUUGAAAAACUGCUAAAACAAUUCCUCCAUCACUGGCACAUCUGCCUGUUCUGCUCAGAAAUUAGGAGUACGCAGCUCCACAUGUAAUACCUGAUCCACAAGAGACAAUCUCUGAACACCCUUUUCUUGUGUGUGUAAUUUAAAAUGUGGCCAUUGUAAAAAUUUUCUUCCAGCCAAUGAGAGAGUUUAAGAUGAAUCUUUUGAUGUCUGAUACCAUCAGUUGUUGAUGUUAAUGAUAUUUAGAGGUAGGCCUUUGGAUCAGGCCUUGAUAGCUUACUUGGUGGGCAUCUCAAAUUCCAUAUCUACCUUUUUGCUGGAAAUGUAGACUAACGUGAAAGGAAAUCUACAAAGCCUGCAGCUAAAGAGUUUUAUCAAUAGGCUCAAGCUUCUUGAGUCUUCCUAAUGUCACAAGACCACGGUCCCUUGUCCUUGUGGAUGUUUCCAUGGAAUUUCAUCUGUUGUUUUAACUGAAUCACAGUGGCUGACUUCAUUCCUUGUCAUGAAGUACUCUCAGGCAUUAAGACAACUUGUCUGUUCAGGAGGGAUUUGAUACAUGAAUUCCCAGACCAGAUCAUGUAGAACAAGUAGACUUUAAUCCACGCCCUGAGAAAAAAAUCUUAUUUCUUCAGAAUUGACUUAAGGGCCAGCUGUCCUCAACUACUUUAAUGAAUGCACUGGUUAAAAGUUGGGAAUGUUUAUAUCUUUGUCUCUUAUCCUCUACACUAAUUGUGAUUAUGUGACUCAGUGUACAAAUCAUCAAACAAAGCCUAAGUCUGGUUAUUCUAUACUGCUCAUCUUCAACAAAAUCUGAUGACUAGCCUGCUUGUGUAUAUACAACUAUUAUUUGUAAAGAAGAAAUUGUCUACAAACUCUGUAUUUUCACUACCUUCAUAAUGUCAAGUCGAUUUUCUUUUUCUCCUGGACUUGACCAGAAGAUAACAUUGAUCUAUCACUGCCAGUCAUUCCCUUUAACCCUGUUAAAAUGAGAGACUUAAAAAGGUAAAGAUGAUCAUCUGUUCAAGAGUCUAAUGUAUGCUGUGUAUAAGAAUUGAUGGUGGAAAAAGCCUAAAACUCAAACCUAGUAACUAUCUCCAUGCCUCAGAUCUCAACUUGCAGCAGUACCAUUCAACCAGUCUGAGGCCUUGACUUGUUGAUAAGAUGUUUCUCAGAGAUGAGCUGAAUUACAGAAGAUGGAGACUUGAUUACCAAAGAAAGUAGGGCCAACCUUGAUGAACCUGGCUCUCCCAACCCUGUCACUCCCAGAUGUAGCAUAGACUCCUAAACAGAGCCUCAAGUCUGGAUUUAAGAGAUACCCUUCUCCUGAGCUGAAAGUUCUUGGACAGAUCAGCAGGAAAGUGAAAGUUGCUAUACCUGACUGGCCCUUUAAGAUCAGAAAAUUGUAUCUAGAGUAAACCGUAUGGAUUAACCCUGGAAUACUCAGGGUUAAAGCUAAUUUACAGAACUUCAACGUUAAACUGCCUGUUUUUCCAGAUCUUAGCCUGGCUACUGAUAUGACUGGCCCUGCUGAAGGUACCUUACUUGUCUAUUUACCUGACUCAGCCAUUGCCUGCCUUUCUGACAUGUUGCUGCAAUCAGACACUGUCCUUCAGAAGACUACAGCUGAUCUCGGCUAUCUUAUAUCCAUUUCCACCAAGAAGUUUUGAACAGAAGCAACCUGUACUUCUGUACUCUCUGGGACUUUGUUCACAACAGGAAGGAGCAUGCUACAUACUCCUUGACCAGCAGAUUUUUUUUUUUUAACUGCAGAGUAAGUCUCUAUGCCUAUAUAUAUUAGAUCAUCAUUUUCAGCACUUGGGACCCUUUCUGCCAGAUCUGAAGGAGCAGAGCAGAUUGAAAGCACUGUCCAUUCCUCCAUUCUAUGGUCAUACGGAGAUGAAUCUGAUUUACCAGUAUUCACAGAAACAUACCAGUUCAACUUGGCAAAAGACUUAAAGGAACAUAAAACUUUACCACUGAACUUAAAAUUUACCACUGACUUGAGGACGUCUCACAGAACUCUUUGCCAGUGGGAGGCUGGUUGUCCUGUUUCAUGUCAGCAAGACAGUUGGGCUCUUAGGCUCAUGACGACUGAGUUUACUUACAUUGAAACUCGUGUAUCAUCCAGAUAUGGUAUUGGACAUGAUUAUUCCAUUCAGAUGGAUUACAAGCCUCCUGAGUAGAAGACAAACUUACUACUCAUGAUUUUUUUCGAGAAUACUUUUAUCAUCAAGGAAGGAACAAUGCCAGUGGUUACCAUUCUACUUUAUGAGCAGAGAUUAAACUUUUUCAGUAUCUGGUCUUACCACUGACAUCAGUUGUUUUUGAUUGACCAGCCUCCAUUCCAUUCCUUUGUAACAACUCCCUGAUGUUUCUUCGAACCUCCUCUCCCUUUCUUCAGUCCACAUGGUUCAAUCUGACCUAAUCUUAGGUUUCAUGGAUGGACAUGUAAUUCAGACCUGAUCAAUCAGCACAGUCCAUCUCCUUGACCAUAGUGAUUGAUGCAGGAUUGGUCAUGUGAUUCAAGUUGGUCCAGUGAUUCUCAACCCUAAGAGUUUUAGUGAACUACGGAAGAGAAGCUCUUUACUGAGAUUGCUUAGCUCUGUAGGAUGAAAAGCUCAAACCAACAGGGCCCAACAUAUCAAAUGAGCCAGUCGGAGAAUGAAGCCAGUACAGAGGAAAAUGGAGCCAAAUGAUGGAGAGACUUGAGUCCUGAUGACAAUGUUUGUGCCCCCUGGAUCAAACCGUGCCUGAAGCUAGUAUAUCCCCUGGACUUUUCAGUUAUGUGAAUCAAUAAAUACCCUUCUUUGCUUAAGUUA
Long non-coding RNA from Bubalus bubalis (water buffalo), 8503 nucleotides. RefSeq lists it as uncharacterized. The record is from RefSeq and is a predicted model, not a curated record. NCBI's taxonomy places the organism in Eukaryota, Metazoa, Chordata, Mammalia, Artiodactyla, Bovidae. The transcript is spliced from 2 exons.